RNAcentral lists this unclassified non-coding RNA (358 nucleotides) under soil metagenome. RNAcentral describes it as "partial contains 5.8S ribosomal RNA, internal transcribed spacer 2, and large subunit ribosomal RNA". The stretch from base 1 to 120 matches the Rfam family "5.8S ribosomal RNA", at positions 35 to 154 of the family's 154-position model. The record is from RNAcentral.
GAUGAAGAACGCAGCGAAAUGCGAUAAGUAAUGUGAAUUGCAGAAUUCAGUGAAUCAUCGAAUCUUUGAACGCACAUUGCGCCCGUUAGUAUUCUGGCGGGCAUGCCUGUUCGAGCGUCAUUACGCCCCUCAAGUCCCCUGUGGACUUGGUGUUGGGGAUCGGCGAGGCUGGUUUUCCAGCACAGCCGUCCCUUAAAUUAAUUGGCGGUCUCGCCGUGGCCCUCCUCUGCGCAGUAGUAAAACACUCGCAACAGGAGCCCGGCGCGGUCCACUGCCGUAAAACCCCCCAACUUUUUAUAGUUGACCUCGAAUCAGGUAGGACUACCCGCUGAACUUAGGAAUAUCAAUAAGCGGAGGA